CCUACGGGAGGCAGCAGUGAGGAAUAUUGGUCAAUGGGCGGAAGCCUGAACCAGCCAAGCCGCGUGCAGGAUGACGGCCCUAUGGGUUGUAAACUGCUUUUCUACGGGACUAACGCGCCUUACGUGUAGGGCGUUGCAUGUACUGUAUGAAUAAGGACCGGCUAAUUCCGUGCCAGCAGCCGCGGUAAUACGGAAGGUCCUGGCGUUAUCCGGAUUUGUUGGGUUUAAAGGGGGCGUAGGCCGCAUGUCAAGGGUACGGUGAAAUGUCCGGGCUUAACCCGGGCCUUGCAGCGAGAACUGGCGUGCUUGAGUGCGCGGAAGGCAGGCGGAAUUCGUGGUGUAGCGGUGAAAUGCUUAGAUAUGACGAAGAACCCCGAUUGCGAAGGCAGCUUGCUGCAGCGGAACUGACGCUGAUGCUCGAAAGCGUGGGUAGCGAACAGGAUUAGAUACCCUAGUAGUC
This 460-nucleotide ribosomal RNA is filed under the name uncultured bacterium. Its description in RNAcentral is "partial 16S ribosomal RNA". It matches the Rfam family "Bacterial small subunit ribosomal RNA", at positions 338 to 795 of the family's 1533-position model. The record is from RNAcentral.